This 433-nucleotide ribosomal RNA is filed under the name uncultured bacterium. Its description in RNAcentral is "partial 16S ribosomal RNA". It matches the Rfam family "Bacterial small subunit ribosomal RNA", at positions 29 to 507 of the family's 1533-position model. The record is from RNAcentral.
AACGAACGCUGGCGGCACGCCUAACACAUGCAAGUCGAACGAGACCUUCGGGUCUAGUGGCGCACGGGUGCGUAACGCGUGGGAACCUGCCCUUAGGUUCGGAAUAACUCCCCGAAAGGGGUGCUAAUACCGGCUAAUGUCUUCGGACCAAAGAUUUAUCGCCUUUGGAUGGGCCCGCGUUGGAUUAGCUAGUUGGUAGGGUAAAAGCCUACCAAGGCGACGAUCCAUAGCUGGUCUGAGAGGAUGAUCAGCCACACUGGGACUGAGACACGGCCCAGACUCCUACGGGAGGCAGCAGUGGGGAAUAUUGGACAAUGGGCGAAAGCCUGAUCCAGCAAUGCCGCGUGAGUGAUGAAGGCCUUAGGGUUGUAAAGCUCUUUUACCCGGGAUGAUAAUGACAGUACCGGGAGAAUAAGCUCCGGCUAACUCCGUG